Maniola jurtina (meadow brown) is the source of this 83-nucleotide long non-coding RNA. RefSeq lists it as uncharacterized. The record is from RefSeq and is a predicted model, not a curated record. Lineage: Eukaryota; Metazoa; Arthropoda; Insecta; Lepidoptera; Nymphalidae. The transcript is spliced from 3 exons.
AAACUGUUAUUCUCAGAACAUUUAUAAUCGCAUAACUCACACGAGAAAGGUUUUAUCCCAGUAUGGGUUCUCAUGUGCGUCAC